GUGGGGAAUAUUGGGCAAUGGGCGCAAGCCUGACCCAGCAACGCCGCGUGAAGGAAGAAGGCUUUCGGGUUGUAAACUUCUUUUACCAGGGACGAAACAAAUGACGGUACCUGGUGAAUAAGCCACGGCUAACUACGUGCCAGCAGCCGCGGUAAUACGUAGGUGGCGAGCGUUAUCCGGAUUUAUUGGGUGUAAAGGGCGUGUAGGCGGGACAGCAAGUCAGAUGUGAAAACCAGAGGCUCAACCUCUGGCCUGCAUUUGAAACUGUUGUUCUUGAGUGUCGGAGAGGUAAUCGGAAUUCCGGGUGUAGCGUUGAAAUGCGUAGAUAUACGGAGGAACACCAGUGGCGAAGGCGGAUUACUGGACUAUAAAUGACGCUGAGGCGCGAAAGCGUGGGGAGCAAACAGGAUUAGAUACCCGGGUAGUCC
RNAcentral lists this ribosomal RNA (428 nucleotides) under uncultured bacterium. RNAcentral describes it as "partial 16S ribosomal RNA". It matches the Rfam family "Bacterial small subunit ribosomal RNA", at positions 354 to 796 of the family's 1533-position model. The record is from RNAcentral.